This 297-nucleotide small RNA is filed under the name Arabidopsis thaliana (thale cress). RNAcentral's name for it is "ATSL071540". Lineage: Eukaryota; Viridiplantae; Streptophyta; Magnoliopsida; Brassicales; Brassicaceae. The record is from RNAcentral.
AUAUGAUUUAAAUAUUACAUAAGUCUCUUAAAUUUGAUGAAACUUAGGCAAAUUGUCUCUUAGUUAAGAGAUAAUUGGUCUUGGUUUCACCAAAUUUAAGAGACCUAUAAUUAAAAAUAUUAUUUAUCUAUACUUACACUUUAAUUUUGUUUAAGAGACUUAGGCUUAGAGACUACCAUUGAGGAUGCUCUUAAACAACCAUUUUUAACAUCUGGAUGUACUAGUUGUUUGUAAUACUGUUCUUUCCUUAUAAGAAAUAAAGAAUACACCAUUUGAAACCUGAAAGAUGGCCAAGCU